Non-coding RNA from Acanthosepion pharaonis, 113 nucleotides. The record is from the annotation of a GenBank genome assembly. NCBI's taxonomy places the organism in Eukaryota, Metazoa, Mollusca, Cephalopoda, Sepiida, Sepiidae.
UACAGCCACAUCACGUUGAAAUACUUGUUCCCGUACGAUCACUGAAGUUAAGCAAAGUCGAGCUUGGUCAGUACCUACAUUGGGGAUCAUUUGGGAAUACACGGUGCUGUAAG